Long non-coding RNA from Ictidomys tridecemlineatus (thirteen-lined ground squirrel), 669 nucleotides. RefSeq lists it as uncharacterized. The record is from RefSeq and is a predicted model, not a curated record. NCBI's taxonomy places the organism in Eukaryota, Metazoa, Chordata, Mammalia, Rodentia, Sciuridae.
CACUUAAUGACCACAUUUUCUUUGUUUCUACAGACCAAGGGGGAAAGAAGACAGUGUGGGGCCAAUCAUCUUGACUCUCUUGUCUGAUGUAUUCAAAAAGUCUGCAGGCGGAGUUGUGCAGAAGGGGGACUCUUCCAGGGAAGUCAUAAUAUGGAAGUCGCCGUAAAAGCAUUCCAGGUUCUGCUAACUCCAGAAGGACCUUUGAAGAGUGAAAUCUGAGAGCUCGGGGACCCAAAAGCGCUCCUAGAGAGGGUUAGGUCUACAACCGCAGGCUCCUGACUUCCUUGAAAUGAAGUGGAUGUGGCAGAAGUGAUUAUCUGGGACUUUCAAAGGUGAACCUACUUCCUGAAGAAGAUGGAUGAAUUAACAGAAUCUGCUGCUAGAGAUCAACCUAUAAGCCUUCUGGUACCAGAGGUCCGAUCUGCCUCCACACUCACUCCUUCCACGUCUCCUCCUACCCCAAUCCCACUAGAAUAUUUUAGAAGUGAGCAAAAGCAAUCUGCUAAGGCAAUGCUCUGUUAUUCAGGAAUCCUCGGAAUUAAAGCUCCUGGUCAUUUUAGAAAUUAAGACUUUGCUACCCAUUGCUCUCUUAUUCUCCUCCUCAGCCUGGCUCUGAUUUCAUAUCUGCUUUCCUGUUUCCUGGACUAAUAAAGCAUUUCACAUGGCCAA